This 156-nucleotide antisense RNA is filed under the name Escherichia coli. RNAcentral's name for it is "sok antitoxin (CssrC)". It matches the Rfam family "sok antitoxin (CssrC)". From Rfam's summary of the family: Also identified in Shigella as CssrC. The record is from RNAcentral. Lineage: Bacteria; Pseudomonadati; Pseudomonadota; Gammaproteobacteria; Enterobacterales; Enterobacteriaceae.
GGGUGCCUGAAGCUUUCCGGUUUCAGGUUUACUCUGAGGUCUGGAAAGAUGAAGCCCCAGGAGAUAUUUCUAUCAACCCUGUACUGCACCCAUUUUGUUGGACGAUGAAAUGGAAUAGCCCCUAAUAUGUCAAAGCCAAAAUACCCUUUUGAAAAG